AUUGAACGCUGGCGGAAUGCUUUACACAUGCAAGUCGAACGGCAGCACGGACUUCGGUCUGGUGGCGAGUGGCGAACGGGUGAGUAAUACAUCGGAACGUGCCCAGUCGUGGGGGAUAACGUAGCGAAAGCUACGCUAAUACCGCAUACGAUCUAAGGAUGAAAGCGGGGGAUCGCAAGACCUCGCGCGAUUGGAGCGGCCGAUGGCAGAGUAGGUAGUUGGUAGGGUAAAGGCCUACCAAGCCGACGAUCUCUAGCUGGUCUGAGAGGAUGAUCAGCCACACUGGGACUGAGACACGGCCCAGACUCCUACGGGAGGCAGCAGUGGGGAAUUUUGGACAAUGGGCGCAAGCCUGAUCCAGCCAUUCCGCGUGCAGGAUGAAGGCCUUCGGGUUGUAAACUGCUUUUGUACAGAACGAAAAGGCUCUGGUUAAUACCCGGGGCUCAUGACGGUACUGUAAGAGUAAGCACCGGCUAACUACGUGCCAGCCGCCGCCGUAA
This 500-nucleotide ribosomal RNA is filed under the name uncultured bacterium. RNAcentral's name for it is "partial 16S ribosomal RNA". It matches the Rfam family "Bacterial small subunit ribosomal RNA", at positions 30 to 523 of the family's 1533-position model. The record is from RNAcentral.